RNAcentral lists this ribosomal RNA (274 nucleotides) under uncultured bacterium. RNAcentral describes it as "partial 16S ribosomal RNA". It matches the Rfam family "Bacterial small subunit ribosomal RNA", at positions 523 to 796 of the family's 1533-position model. The record is from RNAcentral.
AUACGGAGGGUGCAAGCGUUAAUCGGAAUUACUGGGCGUAAAGCGCGCGUAGGCGGUUUUGUAAGUCGGAUGUGAAAGCCCAGGGCUCAACCUUGGAAUUGCAUUCGAAACUGCAUGACUAGAGUAUGGUAGAGGGAAGUGGAAUUCCAGGUGUAGCGGUGAAAUGCGUAGAUAUCUGGAGGAACAUCAGUGGCGAAGGCGACUUCCUGGACCAAUACUGACGCUGAGGUGCGAAAGCGUGGGGAGCAAACAGGAUUAGAAACCCUAGUAGUCC